RNAcentral lists this transfer RNA (88 nucleotides) under Erysipelothrix sp. Its description in RNAcentral is "tRNA-Ser". It matches the Rfam family "tRNA". Rfam says of the family: Transfer RNA (tRNA) molecules are approximately 80 nucleotides in length. Their secondary structure includes four short double-helical elements and three loops (D, anti-codon, and T loops). The record is from RNAcentral. Lineage: Bacteria; Bacillati; Bacillota; Erysipelotrichia; Erysipelotrichales; Erysipelotrichaceae.
GGAGAAUUGGCCGAGCGGCUGAAGGCACUGUCUUGGAAAGGCAGCGAAGCGCAAGCUUCCGGGGGUUCAAAUCCCCCAUUCUCCGCCA